Molecule: ribosomal RNA, 262 nt
Filed under: uncultured archaeon
Lineage: Archaea
Description: partial 16S ribosomal RNA
Rfam family: Archaeal small subunit ribosomal RNA
Source: RNAcentral
AGUCACUGACAUUAGAUACCCGUGUAGUCCAGGGUGUAAACGCUGCAGACUUGGUGUUGGAAGCCCUUUGGGGGCAUUCAGUGCCGGAGAGAAGUUGUUAAGUCUGCUACUUGGGAGUACGUCCGCAAGGAUGAAACUUAAAGGAAUUGGCGGGGAGCACCGCAACGGGAGGAGCGUGCGGUUUAAUUGGAUUCAACACCGUAAACUCACCAGGGAAGACUGUUACAUGAAGGCCGAGAUGGAGACUCUGCUAGAUUUUCAG